RNAcentral lists this ribosomal RNA (468 nucleotides) under uncultured bacterium. Its description in RNAcentral is "partial 16S ribosomal RNA". It matches the Rfam family "Bacterial small subunit ribosomal RNA", at positions 28 to 507 of the family's 1533-position model. The record is from RNAcentral.
GACGAACGCUGGCGGCGUGCUUAACACAUGCAAGUCGAACGGAAAGGCCCUGAUUUUGUGGGGUGCUCGAGUGGCGAAGGGGGGAGUAACACGUGAGUAACAUGUACUUGUCUGAGGGAUAUCUUCAGGAAACAGGGGCUCUUACAGCGUAGGAGCUCUUGCAGCGUGGUGGGGGUUGGAAAGAUUCGGCGGUUGGGGCUGGACUAGCGGCUUAUCAGCUUGAUGGUGGGGUAGUGGCUUACCAAGUCUUAGAAGGGUAGCCGGCCUGGGAGGGUGACCGGCGACAAUGCGCCUGCGAUACGGCCCAGACUGCAACGGGACGCAGCGGUGGAGAGUAUUGCAGAGUAGGCGGGAGCCAGAUACGAAGACGCCGCGUGCGGGAAGACGGCCUUCGGGUUGUGAACCACUUUCUCCUUUGCCGAAGCGUGAGUGACGGUAACGGGUAAAGAAGCACCGGCUAACUACGUG